This 468-nucleotide ribosomal RNA is filed under the name uncultured bacterium. Its description in RNAcentral is "partial 16S ribosomal RNA". It matches the Rfam family "Bacterial small subunit ribosomal RNA", at positions 28 to 507 of the family's 1533-position model. The record is from RNAcentral.
GACGAACGCUGGCGGCGUGCUUAACACAUGCAAGUCGAACGGAAAGGCCCUGCUUUUGUGGGGUGCUCGAGUGGCGAACGGGUGAGUAACACGUGAGUAACCUGCCCUUGACUUUGGGAUAACUUCAGGAAACUGGGGCUAAUACCGGAUAGGAGCUCCUGCUGCAUGGUGGGGGUUGGAAAGUUUCGGCGGUUGGGGAUGGACUCGAGGCUUAUCAGCUUGUUGGUGGGGUAGUGGCUUACCAAGGCUUUGACGGGUAGGCGGCCUGAGAGGGUGACCGGCGACAUUGGGACUGAGAUACGGCCCAGACGCCUACGGGGGGCAGCAGUGGGGAAUAUUGCACAAUGGGCGGAAGACUGAUGCAGCAACGCCGCGUGCGGGAUGACGGCCUUCGGGUUGUAAACCGCUUUCGCCUGUGACGAAGCGUGAGUGACGGUAAUGGGUAAAGAAGCACCGGCUAACUACGUG